AUGGGGAUUGUUCGUGAUUCUAUCUGGACAAGCGGUGGUGGUGAUUGGCUGGGUGGUGGUGUUGCCUUGGGGAGAGACAAAGUGAAGGUGACCCAGAAGUUCCCUUUCAUCAUCAUUUAUAGAGCGUUCAGAGUUCCGAGCUCUGUCGACGUCGCCAGCCUUGUGAAAUGCCAACUGGUCGUCGCUUCUUUCGGUGGUAAUUCUCGAUUCUUUGCACCCUUACAUGCAGAUUCAGAGAUGAGUGUCAAAUUCUUCAGACAAGUUCUGAGACAGAGCAAGAUCCUUACAUACUGCUUGUGUGCAGCUGACGGGAAACACGUAGAUGUUACUGGACUGCAAUUACCCGGCGUGCUGGAUGACAUGUUUGCAUACACAGGACCGCUCAGUGCGGUUUUCAGCGAGGACUCUCUGAGCCUGCACCUUUGGGCUCCUACAACACAGGUUUGGCUUCUAAAGACGACGCAUUUUACCAUCUCAAGUGUCGCCUCCGGAUGUGAGUGUGUGGUUCUUAGAUGGUCCGCAGGCCCUGCUCUAGAGAUGGUGCAGCUCAAGGAGUCAAAUGCACAAAUUCUGAAAUGUUUAGCUGGUGACCUUUAUGCUAGAGGCCUUUCUGCAAAUGGACCGUGGACCUGGUUGGUUGACAUUAACGAUGAAACAUUGAAGCCAGCUUCCUGGGAUGAAUUGGCCGAUGAGAAGCCAAAACUUGAUUCCUGCUCUGACAUAACCAUCUACGAAUUGCACAUUCGUGAUUUUAGGCCUCAGCAGGAAUGUUUGACUCAUGUGCAUUUGUUGCCAAGCUUUCAUUUUGCUGGCGUUGACGACAUUAAGAGCAACUGGAAAUUUUUCGGUAUGACUCUGUGCUUUGGAAGGUUCCAAAAGGAAGUUAUGCAAGUGAUUUCAUCAGGAAAGAGAUGCAGACGAGAGGAAGAGACCUCCCCCAAGCUCUGUCUAGGCGAUGCACGGGCGACGGCCACCCUUCCUAUUAUUGCCUCCAUGGCUGACUGA
Molecule: ribosomal RNA, 1005 nt
Filed under: Triticum aestivum (bread wheat)
Lineage: Eukaryota; Viridiplantae; Streptophyta; Magnoliopsida; Poales; Poaceae
Description: partial small subunit ribosomal RNA
Source: RNAcentral